RNAcentral lists this unclassified non-coding RNA (380 nucleotides) under uncultured bacterium. RNAcentral describes it as "contains 16S-23S intergenic spacer region". The record is from RNAcentral.
UCCGGCUCUUCGCCGGCAGUCUCUCUAGAGUCCCCGCCAUUACGCGCUGGCAACACAGGACAAGGGUUGCGCUCGUUGCGGGACUUAACCCAACAUCUCACGACACGAGCUGACGACAGCCGUGCAGCACCUGCGCAGGCUCCCUUGCGGGUCCCUCCCGUUUCCGGUCGGUACCACCUGCAUGUCAAGCCUAGGUAAGGUUCUUCGCGUUGCAUCGAAUUAAACCACAUGCUCCGCUGCUUGUGCGGGCCCCCGUCAAUUCCUUUGAGUUUUAGCCUUGCGGCCGUACUCCCCAGGCGGGGCACUUAAUGCGUUAGCUGCGGCACGGGAGGAGUCGACACCUCCCACACCUAGUGCCCAUCGUUUACGGCGUGGACUAC